Molecule: non-coding RNA, 517 nt
Organism: Pelobates cultripes (western spadefoot toad)
Lineage: Eukaryota; Metazoa; Chordata; Amphibia; Anura; Pelobatidae
Source: the annotation of a GenBank genome assembly
UCUCCGAAGGUCUCAUUCCCCCCUCCACCACACCCUACUUAUUCAUAUCAUUAUUCCUUUUUCAGAAUGUCACAAGAAUCCAUUCUCAUCAUCGAUCUGCCGUCGGACGAAAUACCCAGCACGCCAGUUAGGCCUGAGUCUCCAGAGUAAUCCCUUACCCAGGCCAACGAAAAACAGGCCCGGCACUAGUUCACAAGGAACCACACCCUACUAACCCCUCAGUUUCCACUCAGGAGACCCUGACUGCUAUUCUGGUCAACCUCCAUACGAUGAACAGGCUGCUACAAGUGGAAAUGGCCAUCCCAGGUGACUUGACAGUCCCCCCCCCCACCCUGGUUGUCUCGGCCGUUCAGGCUGGCAUACCCCUCCUUCCCCCUCCCCCUAGGCCUCCAGCAACUAUCAAAAACACAUAUGUCUUAUCUGCUCACUAUGGAGUUUUGCCUCUGUCCUGGGAGAUAAUUGGAUUAAUUCCCAAUUAUCUCCAGGACAGAGGGAGGGAAAUUAGGAUGCAUUGUGG